GUCAAGAGUAACAAACGAUAUCUGGGAGACGCUGAUGGACGCUGCGUCUAGUCAACGACCGUAGGUUGUGCACGGCUGCCGGAGCACCUUCGGGAAACGCUAACCGCCGAUUCAAGCCUGCACAGCAGUGACUGGAGAUACAGCAACCUUGUAUGAAAAGUGCCGAUAAGACAGUGCAGCCAACAGAAGGUUGCAUCUCUGCGCCCACGGUCCUGCUCGACAGUGGCUGAGACGUGCAACACAGUUGCGCCCAACUUCCCUCUAUGCUACAAGGUAAGCGAGGGAGUGGCUUUG
Ixodes scapularis (black-legged tick) is the source of this 294-nucleotide long non-coding RNA. RefSeq lists it as uncharacterized. Lineage: Eukaryota; Metazoa; Arthropoda; Arachnida; Ixodida; Ixodidae. The record is from RefSeq and is a predicted model, not a curated record. The transcript is spliced from 3 exons.